GGGUUAAUAGCUCAGCGGUAGAGCACAUGCUUAGCAUGCACGAGAUCCUGAGUUCAAUCCCCAGUGCCCCUA
This 72-nucleotide transfer RNA is filed under the name Camelus bactrianus (Bactrian camel). It matches the Rfam family "tRNA". From Rfam's summary of the family: Transfer RNA (tRNA) molecules are approximately 80 nucleotides in length. Their secondary structure includes four short double-helical elements and three loops (D, anti-codon, and T loops). RNAcentral also lists the same sequence under 2 other names. Lineage: Eukaryota; Metazoa; Chordata; Mammalia; Artiodactyla; Camelidae. The record is from Rfam by way of RNAcentral.